AGUGAACGCUGGCGGUAGGCCUAACACAUGCAAGUCGAACGGCAGCACAGGAGAGCUUGCUCUCUGGGUGGCGAGUGGCGGACGGGUGAGGAAUACAUCGGAAUCUACUCUGUCGUGGGGGAUAACGUAGGGAAACUUACGCUAAUACCGCAUACGACCUACGGGUGAAAGCAGGGGACCUUCGGGCCUUGCGCGAUUGAAUGAGCCGAUGACGGAUUAGCUAGUUGGCGGGGUAAAGGCCCACCAAGGCGACGAUCCGUAGCUGGUCUGAGAGGAGGCUCAGCCACACUGGAACGGAGACACGGUCCAGACUCCUACGGGAGGCAGCAGUGGGGAAUAUUGGACAAUGGGCGCAAGCCUGAUCCAGCCAUACCGCGUGGGUGAAGAAGGCCUUCGGGUUGUAAAGCCCUUUUGUUGGGAAAGAAAUCCAGCUGGCUAAUACCCGGUUGGGAUGACGGUACCCAAAGAAUAAGCACCGGCUAACUUCGUGCCAGCCGCCGCGGUAA
RNAcentral lists this ribosomal RNA (506 nucleotides) under uncultured bacterium. RNAcentral describes it as "partial 16S ribosomal RNA". It matches the Rfam family "Bacterial small subunit ribosomal RNA", at positions 29 to 523 of the family's 1533-position model. The record is from RNAcentral.